CGGGGCGUGGCGCAGCUUGGUUAGCGCACCUGUCUGGGGUGCAGGUGGUCGGAGGUUCGAAUCCUCUCGCCCCGACCA
RNAcentral lists this transfer RNA (78 nucleotides) under bacterium. RNAcentral's name for it is "tRNA-Pro". It matches the Rfam family "tRNA". From Rfam's summary of the family: Transfer RNA (tRNA) molecules are approximately 80 nucleotides in length. Their secondary structure includes four short double-helical elements and three loops (D, anti-codon, and T loops). The record is from RNAcentral. RNAcentral also lists the same sequence under 4 other names.